GAUGAACGCUAGCGGGAGGCUUAAUACAUGCAAGUCGAGGGGUAACAUGAGAGCUUGCUCUUGAUGACGACCGGCGCACGGGUGAGUAACGCGUACACUACCUACCUUAUGGUACGGGAUAGCCCUGGGAAACUGGGAGUAAUACCGUAUGGUAUCGUGAGAUUAAAGAUUUAUCGCCAUAAGAUGGGUGUGCGUUUGAUUAGCUAGUUGGUGAGGUAACGGCUUACCAAGGCUACGAUCAAUAGGGGGCGUGAGAGCGUGACCCCCCACACGGGUACUGAGACACGGACCCGACUCCUACGGGAGGCAGCAGUAAGGAAUAUUGGACAAUGGAGGAAACUCUGAUCCAGCCAUCCCGCGUGAAGGAUGAAGGCCCUCUGGGUUGUAAACUUCUUUUAUAGAGGAAGAAUGGUGUUGAUUUAUCAGCAUUUGACGGUACUCUACGAAUAAGCACCGGCUAACUCCG
RNAcentral lists this ribosomal RNA (466 nucleotides) under uncultured Saprospiraceae bacterium. RNAcentral describes it as "bacterial SSU rRNA". It matches the Rfam family "Bacterial small subunit ribosomal RNA", at positions 28 to 505 of the family's 1533-position model. The record is from RNAcentral. Lineage: Bacteria; Pseudomonadati; Bacteroidota; Saprospiria; Saprospirales; Saprospiraceae.